UCUCCCACCCUUUGUUUAUCACACUUUGUUGCUUUGGCGGGCCUGCCUCACGGCUGCCGGCGUAAGCUGGCUCGCGCCCGCCAGAGACCCCCAAACUCUGAAUAUUGUCGUCUGAGUAAUAUAUAAUAAGUUAAAACUUUCAGCAACGGAUCUCUUGGUUCUGGCAUCGAUGAAGAACGCAGCGAAAUGCGAUAAGUAAUGUGAAUUGCAGAAUUCAGUGAAUCAUCGAAUCUUUGAACGCACAUUGCGCCCUCUGGUAUUCCGGGGGGCAUGCCUGUUCGAGCGUCAUUACAACCCUCAAGCUCUGCUUGGUAUUGGGCGUCACCACCUGGUGCGCCUCAAAAACAGUGGCGGUGCCGUCUGGCUUCAAGCGUAGUAAUUUUUCUCGCUCCGGAGUCCAGGCGAGUGCUCGCCAGAACCCCCAAUUUAUCAAAGGUUGACCUCGGAUCAGGUAGG
Molecule: ribosomal RNA, 456 nt
Filed under: Fulvoflamma sp. IP-2014
Lineage: Eukaryota; Fungi; Ascomycota; Leotiomycetes; Helotiales
Description: eukaryotic LSU rRNA
Rfam family: 5.8S ribosomal RNA (bases 135-288)
Source: RNAcentral